GCAGAGAACAGUACACGCACCAAAAGAUAAGAAACGACUAGGAAAGAAAGGAAGCAACGUGGCAACUUCCACGCCACUUCCCUGCAAGGAAAACCUCCAUGCCACCUACCGCUAGCUGCAAAUCAGUGAAGUCCAGUAGUCCACCUACCGCACAACAAACUGAGUGUGCUAGAGAGCCAUGGCUAUGGAGGUUCUGUACCCGUUCUUCCUCUGCCUCGCCGUGCUCACCGGCAGAGCAGUCUCCGCCCCACCACACUCGCAGUGCCACGACAACCCGCCGGACAUGACGGCCGCCAGGGUCGAGGCGGGAAAGGUCGUCCAUGACUUUGCUGGCUACACGGCUUACGUUACCGGCGCCAUCCACUCCGACCGGGCCGUCGUCCUGGCCUCCGACGUCUACGGAUUCGAAGCGCCGUUGCUGAGGUUCGACAAUCCAUUGCCGAUCAUUUUAAGUAUUUCUGUUCCAUCAAAAAGACCUAAAUAUUAUGCGUUAAGUUUCGUGUUUAUGCAUGGUUUAGUUUCAAAUAAAAGAAAAGUAAAUUUAUGCCUACAUAAUUCAACGCAAAAAUGGAUGUCCUGGAUGUAUAGUGUACAUGUCGUGGGGUUCAGCAACAACUUUCCCUUUCUUCCUCUUAUAUAUAAAAGCAAAGCAAGAUACUUCCUUCGGAUGUGAUAUAAGUCAGGCACGGGUUUUAUGUGUUUGAUUUCAUUACCGAAAAAUGGAUUGUAUGGCUUCGAAGGUAUUUUCUAGAUUUGUCAUCAACAAAAGUUUCUAAAUAUGUAUUUUUUGUAUUAUGUAUAUGUUUUCCAGUUAAAUUGACUACCUAAAUUCCUGUGUCAGACUAAUAUUAUCGUCCUCCGAAGGAAGUAGUAGCACUGCUGUUUAAGUUAAAUAGUAUGUACAAAGUUACAUGAGCAUGCAUAGAGUGUCGUGCCGGUCAAUAACUUCUUUAUCCCAAUAUCUAUACAUCUAUAAGUAGAAAUCGUGUAAAGCGUUGCUAUACACAGGACAAAUUUACGGCCGACGCUUGCAGGAUCAUACAUGGAGGCCAGCAGCGGGCCUAUAGGGAGGAGGUUAUUCGUUUUUUUGGCUGAUGCUAGUGCUGUUGGGCACCAACUAUUUUUGGCGGAUCGUGCCCAAAGUGACGUAUAUGAAUCAAUUUCAAAUCAUGUAUGGUUGUGAUUAAUGUUUAACAUGACAAGGAAGGAAGAUAGCAGACAAAAUUGGUGAAGCUGGAUACUAUGUCGUGGUCCCUGAUUUCUUUAAUGGGCAACCUUUAACGGGGGCACCAGGUGAAAACCUCACACAAUGGCUCAGUGAGCACUCUCCGGUAAAAGCUGCUCAAGAUGCUAAACCAAUAUUUGCAACCUUGAGAAAAGAGCGAAAAUUUAGUCUUGGAGUUGGAGGAUACUGUUGGGGUGGAAAGUUCGCAGUGGAGGUAGCGAAAAUGAAUGAGGUGAAGGCAGUUGUCAUCUCCCAUCCUUACUCAGUCAUUGUCGGUGAUAUGAGAGAGGUCAAGUGUCCCAUUGAAAUCCUUGGAGGCGAAUAUGACCAAGCUACACCACAAAAGUUCAUAUAUCAGUUUUUGAAUGCCCUUCGCAAAAGAAGUGACAAGAUACCUUACUUCGGGAAGAUCUUUCCAGGAGUUUGCCAUGGCUUUGCUUGUAGAUACAAUGUCACCAACCCAUUCGAAGUCGAAACCGGUGAACAAGCUCUUGCCCUAAUGGUUGGAUGGUUCGAGAAACAUCUGAAAUGACAAAUGCUAAUCAUAAAGGUCAGAUUGAUCUGACCUAUUUAGUUUCAUAUCCAUGUAAAAGUUUCCAACACAAUAUUUAUGUAAUUGCAUAUUCAUAAACGUAAUGUACAUGAAGACGUGGAUAUUGGAAGUACAACACCUGUGAUGAAUGAUGACUUUUGGGAAAGUCAGCAUUCAAAUUAUCCACUCUUCACCCCGCUACAACAAAUUCCUCAGUCCCCUGCACCAACAGUUCAAAUGGGCUCUGAAGAAACUCAUCCCACCUCGUCUGUGCGUGAAGACAUUCCAGCCACUAGUGCUGAAGAAACUGCUGCUGCUGAUCAUGUGACAACACAGACUGCACCUGAAGAGGAACCAGAAAUUCCUCAGACUGAUGAACCUGAGAUUGCGAUUCCUGAGGUCGUGAUGCAACUCACUAACACUCCUCUGCCAAAGCCAAAGGAUCCGUUCUCAAGGAAGCAAAAAUUCAAGGCUGAAGACUUCUUUGGCGAGCAUGUAUUCUUCACAGAUUACAACCCCUAUGACUCUGCUAGCAUAAGGAAGAGACAUUUUUGGACUGCUAGUCAAGCAAAUUUCUAUUCCAUAGUGCUGUUUAACAAAGACAAAGUCUUCGAUCAUGCACAUAUUCCUCACGCGGACAUGGAGUCUCUGCCGUGCUUCGAGCCAGUCCUCAGUGUUCUUCAUGAUGCUGGGCUGCUAAACUUCUGCACUGACAUCUGUGAUUGGAAUGAAGAACUCAUUCUUCAGUUCUAUGCAACGCUGCAGAUCACAGGAGAUUCUAAAGAUGUGAACUCAUGGGUACUGGACUGGAUGAAAGAAAAUACUCAUUACAAGGCACCAGCUUCUGAAUUGCUUCGUGCCCUACCACUCAGUCCUCCCCUUGAAGGUGCACGUUGUGUCUAUAGUGAACAUGAGCUUACAAAUCACUACAUGCAAGUUUUGAUGAAGCCUUGAAGCCAGGGCAGGACCCUCGAACCAAUUUCCUCGUCAAGGAAUUGUUGUAUGUGCCUCGGACUGUCUAUCGCAUUCUGUCGAAGACAAUGAGUCCUAUCAAAGGCCACGACUCAAAUGAUGAAGAAGUCGUUGGCAUCAUGAAGAAUCUUCUUUUCAACAUCAUUCGUGGUGUUCCCGUCAACUUUCAUGAUUUCUUCAUGAGGACUCUGGCCAAUAUAACUAUGUCACCAUUUGAGCUGAAGCCUUAUGCGCCGUGGAUUAUGAGAUUCAUCAGGACAAGGUCUUCACUCAACUACAAAGCUGACACUCUGAACCACUGCAGCUACUUGCCUCCAAUUAAAGUCCUCAAACGGACAUUUUCCUCAGCUGAUGACAAAGGCAAGGCAGCUGCUGUGAUAGAUGAAGGCAUUCGUCUAUUGGAUGGUCAAUUUCGCAAGGAUGUAUCCUAUUCCACCAAUGAUGACUCUGCCACUCAUGACUCUGCCGCCAACAACACCAAGCAAAAUCUUCAAGCCACAAUACCCAGGGUGAUGACUGAUCGUGAGUUACUCCUCAGUCUUCAUCAGAAGGUUGAUCGCAAUCAUAAAUGGGUCAAGCGUCAGUUUAGUUCAAUUCUUCACAACAUGACCUCCACACACAAUACAGUGAAGAAAAACCACUACUAUCUCCAUGAAACCUUCAACCGUACCUGGGCUGUUCUCUCUCAUGUCUACAGCGCUAAAGAUCUGAAGAAAAUGAGUCUCAAGGAAGAAUUUGACUGGUCUGCACCUCCUCCGAAGAAAUACAAGAAGGUCAAGGUUCCUUCUUUGGUGGCCAGCUCCUAUUCUUCAUCGCGUGACACUGAUGAACAUGAAGACUUGGACGACACAGCGGCAGGCCCUACUACAACAAUCGACCCCAACAACGCUGGCGCUCCUUCAUCAACUUGAUUAUCUUCAGGGGUGUUAGUCCUCAGUUUUGAUCCUUUUGGUCAUUCGAUGACAAAGGGGGAGAAAUUUGG
This 3711-nucleotide ribosomal RNA is filed under the name Triticum aestivum (bread wheat). Its description in RNAcentral is "partial small subunit ribosomal RNA". The record is from RNAcentral. Lineage: Eukaryota; Viridiplantae; Streptophyta; Magnoliopsida; Poales; Poaceae.